Marmota monax (woodchuck) is the source of this 340-nucleotide long non-coding RNA. RefSeq lists it as uncharacterized. Lineage: Eukaryota; Metazoa; Chordata; Mammalia; Rodentia; Sciuridae. The record is from RefSeq and is a predicted model, not a curated record. The transcript has 3 exons.
AGGAAAUAUUCAAGGCAAUAGAACAGAACUCCUCUCAUCCUCUCUCAGGAAACUCAGAGAAAAUGUUUAAAGAGAGAUCACAGUCUGCUAAAUGGAUAAGGUGAUAUCAGAAGAAUCUGAGACUCUGGGAUCCAUCAUGAAUCUCAAACCAGAGCCAGGUUUCGACAGUGCACAUGGGGACUGAGGGCCAUAUUUCAAGCAGAAUGAACAGAACAAGCCUGCUCUCCUUACUGUGGAAAAAUACUACCCCAACUUGAUUCAUUGAAGAAUAUCCACACUUCAGAAGCCUGGAAGAAACAUCUGAAGAUGUAAAACCACUGGUAAGCCUAUAUACAGUCAG